GGGUUGUGAGGUUAAGCGACUAAGCGUACACGGUGGAUGCCCUGGCAGUCAGAGGCGAUGAAGGACGUGCUAAUCUGCGAUAAGCGUCGGUGAGGUGAUAUGAACCGUUAUAACCGGCGAUUUCCGAAUGGGGAAACCCAGUGUGUUUCGACACACUAUCAUUAACUGAAUCCAUAGGUUAAUGAGGCGAACCGGGGGAACUGAAACAUCUAAGUACCCCGAGGAAAAGAAAUCAACCGAGAUUCCCCCAGUAGCGGCGAGCGAACGGGGAGGAGCCCAGAGCCUGAAUCAGUGUGUGUGUUAGUGGAAGCGUCUGGAAAGGCGCGCGAUACAGGGUGACAGCCCCGUACACAAAAAUGCACAUAUUGUGAGCUCGAUGAGUAGGGCGGGACACGUGGUAUCCUGUCUGAAUAUGGGGGGACCAUCCUCCAAGGCUAAAUACUCCUGACUGACCGAUAGUGAACCAGUACCGUGAGGGAAAGGCGAAAAGAACCCCGGCGAGGGGAGUGAAAAAGAACCUGAAACCGUGUACGUACAAGCAGUGGGAGCCUCUUAAUGGGGUGACUGCGUACCUUUUGUAUAAUGGGUCAGCGACUUAUAUUCUGUAGCAAGGUUAACCGAAUAGGGGAGCCGAAGGGAAACCGAGUCUUAACUGGGCGUUAAGUUGCAGGGUAUAGACCCGAAACCCGGUGAUCUAGCCAUGGGCAGGUUGAAGGUUGGGUAACACUAACUGGAGGACCGAACCGACUAAUGUUGAAAAAUUAGCGGAUGACUUGUGGCUGGGGGUGAAAGGCCAAUCAAACCGGGAGAUAGCUGGUUCUCCCCGAAAGCUAUUUAGGUAGCGCCUCGUGAAUUCAUCUCCGGGGGUAGAGCACUGUUUCGGCAAGGGGGUCAUCCCGACUUACCAACCCGAUGCAAACUGCGAAUACCGGAGAAUGUUAUCACGGGAGACACACGGCGGGUGCUAACGUCCGUCGUGAAGAGGGAAACAACCCAGACCGCCAGCUAAGGUCCCAAAGUCAUGGUUAAGUGGGAAACGAUGUGGGAAGGCCCAGACAGCCAGGAUGUUGGCUUAGAAGCAGCCAUCAUUUAAAGAAAGCGUAAUAGCUCACUGGUCGAGUCGGCCUGCGCGGAAGAUGUAACGGGGCUAAACCAUGCACCGAAGCUGCGGCAGCGACGCUUAUGCGUUGUUGGGUAGGGGAGCGUUCUGUAAGCCUGUGAAGGUGGCCUGUGAGGGUUGCUGGAGGUAUCAGAAGUGCGAAUGCUGACAUAAGUAACGAUAAAGCGGGUGAAAAGCCCGCUCGCCGGAAGACCAAGGGUUCCUGUCCAACGUUAAUCGGGGCAGGGUGAGUCGACCCCUAAGGCGAGGCCGAAAGGCGUAGUCGAUGGGAAACAGGUUAAUAUUCCUGUACUUGGUGUUACUGCGAAGGGGGGACGGAGAAGGCUAUGUUGGCCGGGCGACGGUUGUCCCGGUUUAAGCGUGUAGGCUGGUUUUCCAGGCAAAUCCGGAAAACCAAGGCUGAGGCGUGAUGACGAGGCACUACGGUGCUGAAGCGACAAAUGCCCUGCUUCCAGGAAAAGCCUCUAAGCAUCAGGUAACAUCAAAUCGUACCCCAAACCGACACAGGUGGUCAGGUAGAGAAUACCAAGGCGCUUGAGAGAACUCGGGUGAAGGAACUAGGCAAAAUGGUGCCGUAACUUCGGGAGAAGGCACGCUGAUAUGUAGGUGAAGCGACU
RNAcentral lists this ribosomal RNA (1737 nucleotides) under Escherichia coli. Its description in RNAcentral is "partial 23S ribosomal RNA". It matches the Rfam family "Bacterial large subunit ribosomal RNA", at positions 1 to 1770 of the family's 2925-position model. The record is from RNAcentral. Lineage: Bacteria; Pseudomonadati; Pseudomonadota; Gammaproteobacteria; Enterobacterales; Enterobacteriaceae.